RNAcentral lists this ribosomal RNA (216 nucleotides) under Glomeromycotina sp. RNAcentral's name for it is "partial small subunit ribosomal RNA". The stretch from base 40 to 216 matches the Rfam family "Eukaryotic small subunit ribosomal RNA", at positions 686 to 864 of the family's 1831-position model. The record is from RNAcentral. Lineage: Eukaryota; Fungi; Glomeromycota.
GGGUCAGUAGGUUGGUCGUGCCACCGGUACGUACUGGUCUCACUGAUUCCUCCUUCCUGAAGAACCGUAAUGCCAUUAAUUUGGUGUUGCGGGGGAACAGGACUGUUACUUUGAAAAAAUUAGAGUGUUUAAAGCAAGCUAACGCUUGAAUACAUUAGCAUGGAAUAAUGAAAUAGGACGAUCGAUCCUAUUUUGUUGGUUUCUAGGAUUGACAUA